This 263-nucleotide long non-coding RNA is filed under the name Mytilus galloprovincialis (Mediterranean mussel). The record is from RNAcentral. Lineage: Eukaryota; Metazoa; Mollusca; Bivalvia; Mytilida; Mytilidae.
UGCACUAUAAUGUUAGUAUAAGUAAAUACAAAUCUAUGAAAUUUAAACACAAGGCUUAUGACCAUAAAAGGAAGGUUGGUAUUGAUUUUGGGAGUUUUGGUCCCAACAGUUUAGGAAAAAGGGCCCAAAGGGUCCAAAAUUAAACUUUGUUUGAUUUCAUCAAAAUUGAAUAUUGGGGUUCUUUGAUAUGCCGAAUCUAACUGUAUAUGUAGAUUCUCAACUUUUGGUCCCGUUUUCAAAUUGGUCUACAUUAAGGUCCAAAG